AUCCUACGGGAGGCAGCAGUGGGGAAUAUUGCACAAUGGGCGCAAGCCUGAUGCAGCCAUGCCGCGUGUAUGAAGUAAGGCCUUCGGGUUGUAAAGUACUUUCAGCAGUGAGGAAGUGGGUAUGUUAAUAGCAUAUUCAUUUGACGUUAGCUGCAGAAGAAGCACCGGCUAACUCCGUGCCAGCAGCCGCGGUAAUACGGAGGGUGCGAGCGUUAAUCGGAAUUACUGGGCGUAAAGCGCAUGCAGGUGGUUGUUAAGUCAGAUGUGAAAGCCCGGGGCUCAACCUCGGAAUUGCAUUUGAAACUGGCAAACUAGAGUACUGUAGAGGGGGUAGAAUUUCAGGUGUAGCGGUGAAAUGCGUAGAGAUCUGAAGGAAUACCGGUGGCGAAGGCGGCCCCCUGGACAGAUACUGACACUCAGAUGCGAAAGCGUGGGGAGCAAACAGGAUUAGAUACCCUGGUAG
RNAcentral lists this ribosomal RNA (463 nucleotides) under uncultured bacterium. Its description in RNAcentral is "bacterial SSU rRNA". It matches the Rfam family "Bacterial small subunit ribosomal RNA", at positions 335 to 793 of the family's 1533-position model. The record is from RNAcentral.